AACGUAGGUGGCGAGCGUUAUCCGGAUUCAUUGGGCGUAAAGCGCUUGUAGGUGGCCUUGUAAGUUGGACGUGAAAUCUCCCGGCUUAACCGGGCGGGGUCGUUCAAUACUGCAGGGCUGGAGGAUGUCAGAGGGCAGCGGAAUUCCAGGUGUAGCGGUGAAAUGCGUAGAUAUCUGGAGGAACACCGGUGGCGAAGGCGGCGUUCUGGACUGCAACUGACACUGAGGAACGAAAGCCAGGGGAGCAAACGGG
Molecule: ribosomal RNA, 253 nt
Filed under: uncultured bacterium
Lineage: Bacteria
Description: partial 16S ribosomal RNA
Rfam family: Bacterial small subunit ribosomal RNA
Source: RNAcentral